AAUCAACGCUGGCGGCGUGCCUAACACAUGCAAGUCGAACGAGAAAGCGCUCUUCGGAGCGUGAGUAAAGUGGCGGACGGGUGAGUAACACGUGGAUGACCUGCCCUUUGGAGGGGGAUAACCCGGCGAAAGCCGUGCUAAUACCGCAUAAGCUCUAAGGAGGAAAGCCUUCGGGUGCCGAAGGAGGGGUCCGCGGCCGAUUAGCUGGUAGGUGAGGUAAAGGCUCACCUAGGCGUCGAUCGGUAGCCGGUCUGAGAGGACGGACGGCCACACUGGGACUGAGACACGGCCCAGACUCCUACGGGAGGCAGCAGUGGGGAAUUUUGCGCAAUGGGCGAGUGAGCCUGACGCAGCAACGCCGCGUGGAGGAAGAAGGCUUUCGAGUCGUAAACUCCUGUCCUUGGGGAUGAGGAUGACAGUACCCAUGGAGGAAGCCCCGGCUAACUCCGUG
This 451-nucleotide ribosomal RNA is filed under the name uncultured bacterium. Its description in RNAcentral is "bacterial SSU rRNA". It matches the Rfam family "Bacterial small subunit ribosomal RNA", at positions 29 to 507 of the family's 1533-position model. The record is from RNAcentral.